GUAGGGAAUAUUGGGCAAUGGAAGGAAUUCUGACCCAGCCAUGCCGCGUGCAGGAAUACAGUCCUAUGGACUUUAAACUGCUUUUAUUAUAGAGUAACCUGGGGGACGUGUCCCCCACUGCAAGUAUAUAAUGAAUAAGCAUCGGCUAACUCCGUGCCAGCAGCCGCGGUAAUACGGGGGAUGCAAGCGUUAUCCGGAUUUAUUGGGUUUAAAGGGUGCGCAGGCUGAUCGGUAAGUCAUGGGUGAAAAGUCACUGCUUAACAGUGAUCGUGCCUAUGAUACUGCCGGACUAGAGUUUAAGAGGUGUAACUGGAAUGUGAUGUGUGGCGGUGAAAUGCUUAGAUAUGUCACAGAACGCCAAUCGUGAAGACAGGUUACAAACUUAAUACUGACGCUCAUGCACGAAAGCGUGGGGAUCAAACAGGAUUAGAUACCCUGGUAGUCC
Molecule: ribosomal RNA, 445 nt
Filed under: uncultured bacterium
Lineage: Bacteria
Description: partial 16S ribosomal RNA
Rfam family: Bacterial small subunit ribosomal RNA
Source: RNAcentral